Molecule: ribosomal RNA, 846 nt
Filed under: Bacillus sp. (in: firmicutes)
Lineage: Bacteria; Bacillati; Bacillota; Bacilli; Caryophanales; Bacillaceae
Description: bacterial SSU rRNA
Rfam family: Bacterial small subunit ribosomal RNA
Source: RNAcentral
UGGAAGAUUGCGGCGGACGGGUGAGUAACGCUGGGUAACCUGCCCAUAAGACUGGAAACCUCCGGGAAACCGGGGCUAUUACCGGAUAAGUUUUUGAACCGCAUGGUUCGAAAUUGAAAGGCGGCUUCGGCUGACGCUUAUGGAUGGACCCGCGUCGCAUUAGCUAUUUGGUGAGGUAACGGCUCACAUCAACUAUGCUUAGCCGACCUGAGAGGGUGAUCGGCCACACUGGGACUGAGACACGGCCCAGACUCCUACGGGAGGCAAUAUUGCGGAAUCUUCCGCAAUGGACGAAAGUCUGACGGAGCAACGCCGCGUGAGUGAUGAACUUUCGGGUUUAAAACUGUUGUUAGGGAAGAACAUGCUAGUUGAAUAUGCUGGCACCUUGACGGUACCUAACCAGAAAGCCACGGCUAACUACGUGCCAACAGCCGCGGUAAUACGUAGGUGGCAAACGUUAUCCGGAAUUAUUGGGCGUAAAGCGCGCGCAGGUGGUUUCUUAAAAUCUGAUGGGAAAGCCCACGGCUCAGCCGUGGAGGGUCAUUGGAAACUGGGAGACUUGAGUGCAGAAAGGAAAGUGGAAUUCCUUAUGUGCCGGUUCUGCGUAGAGAUAUGGAGGAACACGAGUGCCGAAGCGACUUUCUGAUCUGUAACUGACACUGAGGCGCGAAAGCGUGGGAUAGCAUACAGGAUUUCCCCCUGGUAGUCCACGCCGUAAACGAUGGAGUGCUCAGUGUUAGGAGGGUUUCCGCCCUUUAGUGCUGUAGUUCACGCUCUUAGGCACUCCCCCUCGGGGAGUACAGCCGUCAAGUCUAAUUACUCGAAGCACUUGACAGCGGCCGGAAC